GAUAAACGCUGGCGGCGCACAUAAGACAUGCAAGUCGAACGGACUUAACCUAAAAGUUUACUUUUUGGAGCGGUUAGUGGCGGACUGGUGAGUAACAUGUAAGCAAUCUGCCUAUCAGAGGGGAAUAACAGUGAGAAAUCAUUGCUAAUACCGCAUGAUGCAUGAUCAGGGCAUCCUGGACAUGCCAAAGAUUUAUCGCUGAAAGAUGGCCUCGCGUCUGAUUAGCUAGUUGGUGAGGUAACGGCCCACCAAGGCGACGAUCAGUAGCCGGACUGAGAGGUUGACCGGCCACAUUGGGACUGAGAUACGGCCCAG
This 315-nucleotide ribosomal RNA is filed under the name uncultured bacterium. RNAcentral describes it as "bacterial SSU rRNA". It matches the Rfam family "Bacterial small subunit ribosomal RNA", at positions 28 to 334 of the family's 1533-position model. The record is from RNAcentral.